UGGGGAAUAUUGGACAAUGGGCGCAAGCCUGAUCCAGCCAUGCCGCGUGUGUGAAGAAGGCCUUUUGGUUGUAAAGCACUUUAAGCGAGGAGGAGGCUACUGAGAUUAAUACUCUUGGAUAGUGGACGUUACUCGCAGAAUAAGCACCGGCUAACUCUGUGCCAGCAGCCGCGGUAAUACAGAGGGUGCGAGCGUUAAUCGGAUUUACUGGGCGUAAAGCGUGCGUAGGCGGCUUCUUAAGUCGGAUGUGAAAUCCCUGAGCUUAACUUAGGAAUUGCAUUCGAUACUGGGAAGCUAGAGUAUGGAAGAGGAUGGUAGAAUUCCAGGUGUAGCGGUGAAAUGCGUAGAGAUCUGGAGGAAUACCGAUGGCGAAGGCAGCCAUCUGGCCUAAUACUGACGCUGAGGUACGAAAGCAUGGGGAGCAAACAGG
RNAcentral lists this ribosomal RNA (430 nucleotides) under bacterium. RNAcentral's name for it is "partial 16S ribosomal RNA". It matches the Rfam family "Bacterial small subunit ribosomal RNA", at positions 355 to 776 of the family's 1533-position model. The record is from RNAcentral.